Molecule: long non-coding RNA, 477 nt
Filed under: Bos taurus (domestic cattle)
Lineage: Eukaryota; Metazoa; Chordata; Mammalia; Artiodactyla; Bovidae
Description: long non-coding RNA NONBTAT007282
Source: RNAcentral
GGCAUGAUACCUUACACCUGGUUAUCAGAAUACUCAUCUUGGGAGAAAGGUGCCACAUGGAGAAAAAAAUCUUACAUCUUUCAUUAAAUACAUAAAUUCAACCUAAAAGAAAAUGAGGAGGCAUGCGUUCCUCGUGAUGCUAACAACUGUUAACUUUAUCCCUCUAAAAGUGUUGGCAGUAUUAUGGUAAAUUACUCUACAUUCCAUCAGAAAAACUGAAGCAAUAUUGAACAAUUACAGUGUUGGGUUCCAUUUCAAUGGUUCCUUUCGAGAACUACGGCAAAUUAGCUCAAGAAUCACUAUUUCUACACUCUCCUUCUUUUGGCUUUAAGUGGCUUUUGAAGGGAGUAUCCCCAGAUGAGAAACUUCCAACACUCCUGCAGAGAUGACCUGCUUGAAGAACUGGCUGCCUGAUUAACUAUUAACUGCUCUCAAUAGGAUUAGAUAAUUAAGGACAUUGAUGACCAUUAAUUAGGA